GCAAAAUAACCAUGACCCACUCACGCUCUCGGGAAAAAUCUAACACCGCCGUGAACCACCGUACAAAUUCCCCCAAAUCACCGGAAAAUUCAACGCUUCCACCGAUCACCAAAACAAUCACAAAAUCUGCUGAAAGUCACAGACUCUUCACCCUAAGCGACGAAAUCGCACUCCUCAAAACCCUAUCACAAUCCCCAAACAGCAACGAACUCCGAACUGGAAACUUCACCGAGGCGCAAAUCGCGAAUAAGCUGAAGAAACUGAAAGAGAAGUACCACAAGUUGGCUAGAUCCAAAUCCCAAAUCAAAACUCCGCACGACGGCGAGAUUUACGAAAUUGGGCGAAAGAUUUGGGGUCGAAAUGCAGCUAAGGGAAAGGAGUUAUUAGUAGUAGUAGGAGAAGAAGAUCAUGAUGAAGAUGAAGAUGUGAAUUUGGAUGAUUUUUCUUUUUUGGUAAAUGAAAUGACAAUGGUGUUUCAGAGGAAUGAGUAUUGUAAACAAGGGUUAAGGAAAUUGGGGAAGAAGAAAUUGAUGGAGAUGAAUGAGAAAUGGAUGGAGCUGAAAUUGAAAGAAUCUGAGCUUAUGAUGAAUAAAACUCAGCUGUAUCAUGAAAACCUCAAAGUUGUUGUUGAAGGUUCAAAGGGUUCUAACAGUAGCAAUUGAAUUACUAGUUGAAUUGAGAGAUCUUUCGAUCGAUUUAGUUAGUUAGUUGAGUAAUUCACAGGUAAUGUGAACCCUUCUAGAUGUGAACCUUAAUUCAGUAUGAAUGCUUCAAUUUUUAGUUUGAAAUUCUAG
This 794-nucleotide unclassified non-coding RNA is filed under the name Hevea brasiliensis (rubber tree). Lineage: Eukaryota; Viridiplantae; Streptophyta; Magnoliopsida; Malpighiales; Euphorbiaceae. The record is from RNAcentral.